CCUUGGAUUAAAAAAUAUACGGUUAGAAUGAUGUGGGCUCUCUAAGGUUGAGUGAGUUGUUGGUUUAAUAGUAUAAUCUAACGGGUAAAAUAGUCAAAGGGUUAAAUCUAAUGGCGGAAAACUUGAUAACACUAAAUGCAUGGUGCUAUCAAGAGUAUCCCAGCCGGACUCUCUCUCUCUCUCUCUCACACACACACACACAAUAAUCGGCUUAGGAGAAUGGAGGUCU
RNAcentral lists this long non-coding RNA (229 nucleotides) under Ananas comosus (pineapple). Its description in RNAcentral is "long non-coding RNA (ACOM_LNC019247)". Lineage: Eukaryota; Viridiplantae; Streptophyta; Magnoliopsida; Poales; Bromeliaceae. The record is from RNAcentral.